CAACUUUCAGCAGUGGAUG
This 19-nucleotide ribosomal RNA is filed under the name Elongisporangium prolatum. RNAcentral's name for it is "Pythium prolatum partial 5.8S ribosomal RNA". Lineage: Eukaryota; Oomycota; Peronosporomycetes; Pythiales; Pythiaceae. The record is from RNAcentral.